RNAcentral lists this ribosomal RNA (253 nucleotides) under uncultured bacterium. RNAcentral describes it as "partial 16S ribosomal RNA". It matches the Rfam family "Bacterial small subunit ribosomal RNA", at positions 524 to 776 of the family's 1533-position model. The record is from RNAcentral.
UACGUAGGGUGCAAGCGUUGUCCGGAAUUAUUGGGCGUAAAGAGCUCGUAGGCGGUUCGUCACGUCGGCUGUGAAAACCCGGGGCUCAACUCCGGGCCUGCAGUCGAUACGGGCGAACUAGAGUGUUGCAGGGGAGACUGGAAUUCCUGGUGUAGCGGUGAAAUGCGCAGAUAUCAGGAGGAACACCGGUGGCGAAGGCGGGUCUCUGGGCAACAACUGACGCUGAGGAGCGAAAGCGUGGGGAGCAAACAGG